UAUUCCUGUGUUGUCUCUCAUAGGUGUGAUGGCUGUACUGGUCAGAGUUAUCAGCAUCCUGUACUGGAUACCAUGUUUGUUCGCUCUCACUGGAGAAAGAAUGGACUGGCUUUACAGAUGCUGGAGGAUUUCUGCUCAUCCCAACCUUCAGAUGGGAUUCUGGGAAUUAGCUUUCCCAUGUCUUCUGGCAUGUAUGGAGUUUGCAGGGAGUAUCUUGAGAUUCAUGACGAAGAAAGAGAUCGGCUGUAUGAGAUGGAAGCCCCUGGUGACUGGACUCAGUGACACAAUGUGUGGAUAAACAUCCAGCUCAUUCAAACAGACUGUGGAGACUCAAAGCAAAGUUCACACACCUCAUACAGUGACAGUAGAUCUGAUUUAAAAGAACAGGGGAAGCUGCAACAAUGUGUAUCAUCAGUCAGCCUCAAAGAGCUAUCAAGCUCUGGUAAGAAGCGACCAGCAGAGCAGACCAAGACAAGAACCAACUAUAUAAAAGCCAGGACUUAACCUUAAAUUGCAGUGUGCUGUAAUGUAAGUGUCCAGGGAGCUCUCAGAUGGAUGGUUUACUUUCAAACUGUAUCUGACUGAACCUAAACAUUCAAAACAUAUGGCUGGGCUGUCCAACGUGUGUAGAUCAUGUUUUUAGUAUUCUCAGAGAAUCCAAGGAGGUGGAAUUACUGUACAAGUGCCUUCAUGAUUAGUCUACAGUAAUAGUGUGUGACCUGAUUGAACAAAUCAAUAUUUCUGUUAUUUAAAAAUGUCUGGAUCUGGACAUGGUCAAAUAAAUACCCUUACAAAAAUCUAGAGUUUUGGCAAACCCCUGUGGCAAACAUGCCACAAAUUUGCCAUUCAUUAUUUGAAAAUGCAAAUGAGUUUUACGCUAAACUCUUCAAUGUUGCCACAGGUUUGCCAUAGUAGUGUUUGCCAGUAGUGGUAUAUUGUCCAUUGUUGCCAAGGGUUUGCUAGCAGGCUCACUUCUACCGGUGAUAAGCUGCAAACUUCUGGCAAUAAUUUAUGGCAAAUUGGCUUGUUUGCUGCAAAUUUACCACAUACUAACUAGUCUACCAAGAAAGAAAGAAAUAGUAAAAAAAAUCCAUUUUUGCAAGGGUAUGAAUCAUACUGUAUCCGGUGCUGUCAAUAUUUGUCAUUAUUGAGUGCAUUAAGUAUUAUUAAAGAUAAAUUAUUAUUUUAUUUUUUUAGAUAAUAGAAAUAAACAAGCUGUUUUUUUAUUUCUUUUAUAAAGUGGGUGGAUGGAUGAAU
Myxocyprinus asiaticus (Chinese sucker) is the source of this 1257-nucleotide long non-coding RNA. RefSeq lists it as uncharacterized. The transcript is spliced from 4 exons. The record is from RefSeq and is a predicted model, not a curated record. NCBI's taxonomy places the organism in Eukaryota, Metazoa, Chordata, Actinopteri, Cypriniformes, Catostomidae.